RNA transcript from Pan troglodytes (chimpanzee), 2688 nucleotides. It is a transcript of the gene named zinc finger protein 410, with no coding region annotated. The record is from RefSeq and is marked provisional. The transcript has 12 exons. Lineage: Eukaryota; Metazoa; Chordata; Mammalia; Primates; Hominidae.
GUUACAUUGAUUACCCACCUAGUACAACAUCUUACGGAAAGAGCAUAGUAUUUCCUAGAGGAAUAUGAACAUAACAGGAAGGUAUCAUUGGCUCUGAAUUAAAUUUGAACUUGUCCCCUGAAUAGCUACAGGUUUUGGAAGCUGAAUCAAUGUUAUCAGAUGAGUUAGAAUCCAAACCAGAGCUCCUGGUACAGUUUGUUCAGAAUACGUCCAUCCCAUUGGGACAGGGGCUUGUAGAAUCAGAAGCUAAAGAUAUUACUUGCUUGUCCCUCCUUCCCGUGACUGAAGCCUCAGAAUGCAGUCGGCUAAUGUUACCAGAUGAUACUACAAAUCAUUCUAACUCCUCCAAGGAGGUCCCUUCCUCAGCUGUUUUGAGAAGCCUUCGGGUGAAUGUGGGUCCAGACGGAGAGGAGACGAGAGCUCAGACUGUACAGAAAUCCCCGGAGUUUUUGUCCACUUCAGAGUCUUCUAGCUUGUUGCAAGAUCUACAGCCAAGUGAUAGCACUUCUUUUAUUCUUCUUAACCUAACAAGAGCAGGUCUGGGCUCUUCAGCUGAGCACUUAGUGUUUGUACAGGAUGAGGCAGAAGAUUCAGGGAAUGAUUUCCUCUCCAGUGAGAGCACAGACAGUAGCAUUCCAUGGUUCCUCCGGGUUCAGGAGUUGGCCCAUGACAGUUUGAUUGCUGCUACUCGUGCACAACUGGCAAAGAAUGCAAAAACCAGCAGCAAUGGAGAAAAUGUCCACCUUGGUUCUGGUGAUGGGCAGUCAAAAGAUUCUGGGCCCCUUCCUCAAGUGGAAAAGAAGCUCAAGUGUACAGUUGAAGGUUGUGACCGGACAUUUGUAUGGCCAGCUCACUUUAAAUACCACCUCAAGACUCAUCGAAAUGACCGCUCCUUCAUCUGUCCUGCAGAAGGUUGUGGGAAAAGCUUCUAUGUGCUGCAGAGGCUGAAGGUGCACAUGAGGACCCACAAUGGAGAGAAGCCCUUUAUGUGCCAUGAGUCUGGCUGUGGUAAGCAGUUUACUACAGCUGGAAACCUGAAGAACCACCGGCGCAUCCACACAGGAGAGAAACCUUUCCUUUGUGAAGCCCAAGGAUGUGGCCGUUCCUUUGCUGAGUAUUCUAGCCUCCGAAAACAUCUGGUGGUUCACUCAGGAGAGAAGCCUCAUCAGUGCCAAGUCUGUGGGAAGACCUUCUCUCAGAGUGGAAGCAGGAAUGUGCAUAUGAGAAAGCAUCACCUGCAGCUGGGAGCAGCUGGGAGUCAAGAGCAGGAGCAAACUGGUUUAUUCUUGUUUCUCGAAAGUAGGUGAAAUAGGAGGUGGCAUCCCAUCUAUAGGUUAACUUCUAGUAAUGAAAGAGAAGGCCAGCUUCUGUUGAAAGAAAAUGAGGACCAGGCACAGCCUUGAUUGCUGUAUGUCUCUCACAACCUAUUCUCUGUGCAGCUGAGCCACUGAUGGGCAGUAGUUUGCUUGAAGAGGCUUCAGUACCCAGUAAAAACCUGGUGUCUGUGAAUUCCCAGCCCAGCCUUGGUGGAGAGUCCUUGAACCUACCAAAUACCAAUUCUAUCCUGGGAGUUGAUGAUGUUAUGGAAGAACUUAACUUUUAAAACAUUUAAACAGAACAUAACCAGGUUUUACAGAGGAGAUAUAAAGCAAUUUCUCCAUACCUUCAAAAGCCAUAUCUUCUGGAGAAAAGAAAGGGCUCUCUAGGAAACACUUGCUCCUCUCUGGUAUAGAAAUUUCACCCAAGUUACACAGGCCAGGCCCUCUUCUCUGAAAAACUUAACAGAGGUGCUUGCUGAAGGAUCCCCACGUUCCCUGUCUUCAGUGCCUGAUGUGACACAUCACCUGGUGACCAUGCAGUCAGGGAGGCAAUCAUAUGAAGUUUCUGUCUUAACUGCAGUAAAUCCACAAGAGUUACUAAACCAAGGAGAUUUAACUGAAAGACGGACAUGAGCAUGGGUGCUGACUCCUGGAAGAGCAACUCUAUCUGAUCUCAAAAUGCGUAUACUGGGAACAGGAUGCCUUAGCCCACAACAGAACCAGAAUGAAUCUUUGAAGGCACAAGACUCUGCUUUUGCCACUCUUCCUCUUUCCUGGUAUAGAAGAUGGAUGUAGGAGAGCUUCUUUUCUAACUACCAUCUGAUCAGACAAGGAAUGAAGCAAUGACUGUGGGCUGGGAAACUGUACCUACCUCUCUUCCCACUGCAAAUUUCUGGGAUAGACCAAAAGUGAAUUUGAUUAUGUGUUGGCUGAAGUUCUUCAUUCUGACUGUUGAGGGGAGGUUUUCCUUUGAAGAGUUUUCAUCCCAGACUCAGCUGUCUUUUCACAUGGAUGAAAUAAUUCCUGCUACCGACAACAGAGCUUCACCAGGAAGUUGAGUUUUCAAGAUGCCUUGUUGCUUUGAAGAAGGGAGUGAUGUCAAUUCUCUUGUUACAUUCUCCCUUUAGCAACCUGAGUAAGAGACUCUCUGCCACUGGGCUGCAAAAAAAUAAAUUACUUGAAUCUCCCCUUGGCCCAGGCUGAGGUACUAUCUUGUCCUAUACACUUCUACUUGGUCACUUUGCUUUCUUCGUUAAUGGAACAUACAGUAGCAUGUUAAGAGGGAUUUCAUGUUUUUGUUUUUUUAAAGUUAAAAAUUACAUGAUGCAGAGAUUCAGGUUUUCCUUUAAAUAAACAAACAGCCCAGUCA